GUCAGCAUGGUGUAGUGGUUUGAGUGUUGGACAAGAGCUCCAGGAGACCAGGGUUCAAAUCUCUGUUCAGUCA
This is a non-coding RNA of Phrynosoma platyrhinos (Desert horned lizard), 73 nucleotides long. The record is from the annotation of a GenBank genome assembly. NCBI's taxonomy places the organism in Eukaryota, Metazoa, Chordata, Lepidosauria, Squamata, Phrynosomatidae.